This 154-nucleotide small nucleolar RNA is filed under the name Meyerozyma guilliermondii ATCC 6260. Its description in RNAcentral is "Small nucleolar RNA snR8". It matches the Rfam family "Small nucleolar RNA snR8". Lineage: Eukaryota; Fungi; Ascomycota; Pichiomycetes; Serinales; Debaryomycetaceae. The record is from Rfam by way of RNAcentral.
GAACUUUAUGAUACGAAGCUUCUCAUUCACUGCACCAUUCUAACCAUUGAGUGAUUGGAGGGGAAAGAGAAGCGAGAACAACUCGAAUUACGUCCUCAUACUAAGUUUUGCGAACUUUUCACGCAUUCUUGGAUCCUACGUUCUCGGUACAACC